Molecule: long non-coding RNA, 736 nt
Organism: Brassica napus (rape)
Lineage: Eukaryota; Viridiplantae; Streptophyta; Magnoliopsida; Brassicales; Brassicaceae
Exons: 4
Source: RefSeq, a predicted model, not a curated record
AAGAAGAUGGCGGCCUCUAGAUUAGGUUUAGUGUUGUAUUUUUUUUUUUUAAUUUUGUUUAAUGGUAUAAACCGGUUCAAAUAUUUUGUAAACCUGUUUUAAUAUAUACAUUCUAUGUUUAUCUAUAUUCUACAGUGAUGAGAGGACGAGAUCUUUGUAGAAGCAGUUUUGAGUGAUGAGGUCUGACACGGAGGCCAAGCCGUGGACGUUAAUGGCAGCGUAGAAGCUGGAGAGAGCUUCAGAGUUCAGACACAGAUGUGGGAGCUGUUCGGGACGCAAUGUCGAUGGCUGUCUCCCACCACGCAGCUGCUUUUACAGACGGACUACAGGAUGUGAACUAUUGCCACCGAGUGAUGGUUGUUGGUUUCAAACUAUUGCCAGAAAGGUUUAUUCUUUGGACUGGACACCUGAGAUGAACCAGAUUGUCAGUGCAUCUCAACAAGACACGCUCAGUUAGAAGAGAAAAGUGAUGGAAAAGGGAAAGACACAACCAAAGGGCCAAUUGAUAAAGUGCUGAAAAUGCAAUCGUUUAGAUCUUGAAAAGGAUGUUGUUCUUCAAUGGCUGCCUUGAGUUUACCGUCUCUACCAAAUGUCCUUAUCUCAGACACUUGUGGAGAAGCUUAUGGUCUCUGUCAAAGCUGCAGAGCCUUUUCAACCAGAUAUCUUUCCAUACUUCACAGGCCAGGAAUCUAAAACAGAGACGCACAUAGCUACGAAAUGUUGUCUCUGAGACCCG